Long non-coding RNA from Beta vulgaris subsp. vulgaris (sugar beet), 1430 nucleotides. RefSeq lists it as uncharacterized. The transcript is spliced from 3 exons. The record is from RefSeq and is a predicted model, not a curated record. Lineage: Eukaryota; Viridiplantae; Streptophyta; Magnoliopsida; Caryophyllales; Amaranthaceae.
UUCAGUUGGUCAUCUUAUGUCUUUCAGUUUGUCAUAUUAUUUGUUUUCUUUUGUUGUAGAACUAUAUCAAUUGGAUGUGUGCUGAGAAGGUAAAAAAGGUUAAGGUUGAUAGUGAGAUUGCUGAAAAUGAGAUUAUUUUGAAAAAGCUGGAGGGCACUAAUCAGUAUGAUCAGAAGUUGAAGGAAUUGGAAGAAAAGAAGAAAAAGCUGGUUACAAAAGAUGAUGAUUUAUACUACAAGAAAUGUAAGGAAGCUAUUUCUUCAUGGGUGAAAUCAUUUCCUAGGGAAUGAUAUUCGAGAAGCUGAACUGAUUUUUGUUCCUGUUCACAAGGAUGAUCAUUAUACUGUCUUGGUGCUGAACAAGAAAGCUAAAAGGAUUGAAAAUAUUGACAAUCGUACAGACAUGAAGGAUAUUGAUAGAUAUAAGCAUGAGGAAUUUAACGGUCUUACAUACUUUAUACGUACCUUUUUAUGAGCAUUUGUAUUUUGUUUUUGUUCCAUUUUAUUACUUGUUUUUUAAUUGUUGUUUACUUUUUGAUCUUCAAAUGCAGUGUCGUGCUUUUGAUUCUUUUAUGCAAGUUAAUAUGAGAUGUCGUGAUUUUGAUCAUCUCCACCAUUGGCAAACAUCAACUCUUUAUUUCCCUUGGAGAAGCAAGGACAACAAUUUUGAUUGUGGUGUCUAUGCAAUCAAAACCAUGGAGUUGUAUGAUGGUCAAAAUACUAACCAUUUUGCACUUGUUGACGUGAAAAGGGCAGCCACCAAAAACCUUGAGUGGUGCAGGCUUGCGCUUCGUCUUGUGGACCAUCCUUUAAACAAACCGAGAGAGAAAGUGAAGCAUGACUGUUAUGUUUGGUCUGCAAACAAACUCAACUAAUGGCAAGACAGAAGUUAAGGAAGGAUAAAGAGGCUGUUCUAGAUAAAUUAGCUUGUAAUCGAUCAAAGAUGACAAAUAGAAAAGAAGCACACGUUUUACGGCGAAGGAGGGAUCAUGAGGCGCAAGUAGAAGAGGUGUUGAAUAAUAAUUUUGGAGACAAAGUGAAAGUAGAGCAACUGUUGAAAUUUCGUUAUUCUUAGUUGCCAAACUGUUUUUUUUUUGUUUUUUUUAUUAUAAUGUACAGUAGAAAUAGCACACCAUUAAAUUUUGUAAUGUACAGUAGAAAUAGCACACAACUCAUUUUAUAUUUUUUAUCUUUAUAAUUGUACAUUUACACUUACUUUGAAUGGAAUACAUUUGUGUCAAUGAAGUUGUUUGAAAAUUAAUUGGCCGGAAAAAUACAAUCACCAACCGAAAAAUGAAAAAUCUAACUCAUAAUAAUAAGUGUAUGACAUAUAUUUGUAAAUAUAAAUUUUAAGUCUAACUGAAGCACUGUAAAUAGUAGCUGAAAAAUAAACAAGUCUAACUGAAGGACAAUAACGACUAGCUGAAAAAU